RNAcentral lists this unclassified non-coding RNA (149 nucleotides) under soil metagenome. Its description in RNAcentral is "partial internal transcribed spacer 1". The record is from RNAcentral.
CCGAGUUUACAACUCCCAAACCCCCUGUGAACAUACCACUUGUUGCCUCGGCGGAUCAGCCCGCUCCCGGUAAAAACGGGACGGCCCGCCAGAGGACCCCUAAACUCUGUUUCUAUAUGUAACUUCUGAGUAAAACCAUAAAUAAAUCA